UACGGAGGGGGCUAGCGUUGUUCGGAAUUACUGGGCGUAAAGCGUGCGCAGGCGGUUAUUUAAGUCAGGUGUGAAAGCCCUGGGCUUAACCUAGGAAUUGCGCUUGAGACUGGAUAGCUUGGAGUGCGGCAGAGGGAGGUGGAAUUCCACGUGUAGCAGUGAAAUGCGUAGAGAUGUGGAGGAACACCGAUGGCGAAGGCAGCCCCCUGGGCUGAGAUUGACGCUCAGGCACGAAAGCGUGGGGAGCAAACAGG
RNAcentral lists this ribosomal RNA (254 nucleotides) under uncultured bacterium. RNAcentral's name for it is "partial 16S ribosomal RNA". It matches the Rfam family "Bacterial small subunit ribosomal RNA", at positions 524 to 776 of the family's 1533-position model. The record is from RNAcentral.